GGGACUAUAGUUAAUAAUAACAUUUGAGUUGCAUUCAAAAAGUACUACCACCAAGUAGUUAGCCUCA
This 67-nucleotide transfer RNA is filed under the name Cornitermes cumulans. RNAcentral describes it as "tRNA-Ala". The record is from RNAcentral. Lineage: Eukaryota; Metazoa; Arthropoda; Insecta; Blattodea; Termitidae.